This 497-nucleotide ribosomal RNA is filed under the name uncultured bacterium. Its description in RNAcentral is "partial 16S ribosomal RNA". It matches the Rfam family "Bacterial small subunit ribosomal RNA", at positions 28 to 507 of the family's 1533-position model. The record is from RNAcentral.
GAUGAACGCUGGCGGCGUGCCUAAUACAUGCAAGUCGAGCGAACAGACGAGGAGCUUGCUCCUCUGACGUUAGCGGCGGACGGGUGAGUAACACGUGUAUAACCUACCUAUAAGACUGGGAUAACUUCGGGAAACCGGAGCUAAUACCGGAUAAUAUAUUGAACCGCAUGGUUCAAUAGUGAAAGACGGUUUUGCUGUCACUUAUAGAUGCAUCCCGGCCGCAUUAGCUAGUUGUUAAGGUAACGGCUUACCAAGGCAACGAUGCGUAGCCGACCUGAGAGGGUGAUAGGCCACACUGGAACUGGGACGCGGUCAAGACGCCUACGGGAGGCAGCAGUAGGGAAUCUUCCGCAAUGGGCGAAAGCUUGACGGAGCAACGCCGAGUGAGUGAUGAAGGUCUUCGGAUCGUAAAACUCUGUUAUUAGGGAAGAACAAGUGUGUAAGUAACUAUGCACGUCUUGACGGUAACUAAUCAGAAAGCCACGGCUAACUACGUG